Podarcis lilfordi (Lilford's wall lizard) is the source of this 78-nucleotide non-coding RNA. The record is from the annotation of a GenBank genome assembly. NCBI's taxonomy places the organism in Eukaryota, Metazoa, Chordata, Lepidosauria, Squamata, Lacertidae.
GCUGAAUAGCUCAGUUGGUUAGAGAGCAUGGUGCUGAUAAUGCCAGGGUUGCAGGUUCGAUCCCCAUAUGGGGCAGCU